GCCAAACAGCUAGCUUAACCACCAAUAUAACUCCACACCAUAAAUAAAAUAAAUUUGACCUCAAACCUAUAAACUAAAUCAUUCUUCACCUUAGUAUGAGAGACAGAAAAGGAUUUACCAAAGCAAUAGAAAAAGUACCGCAAGGGAAAGCUGAAAGAGAAAUGAAACAACCCAUAUAAGCCAUAAAAAUCAAAGACUAAACCUUGUACCUUUUGCAUCAUGAUUUAGCAAGUCCACCCAAGCAAAGAGACCUCUAGUUUGAAACCCCGAAACCAAGUGAGCUACCCCGAGACAGCCUAUGCUAGGGCCAACCCAUCUCUGUGGCAAAAGAGUGGGAAGAACUCCGGGUAGAGGUGACAGACCUAUCGAACUUGGUGAUAGCUGGUUGCCUAAGAAAUGAAUAUAAGUUCAGCCUCGCACACCCUAAGUCAAAAACUUACUAACAAGACACAGAGGAAAAAUGCGAGAGUUAGUUUAAGGAGGUACAGCCCCUUAAACAAAGGAUACAACCUUAACAGGAGAAUAAAGAUUAUAAUACCCAAAAUACACCGUCCCAGUGGGCCUAAAAGCAGCCACCUAAACAGAAAGCGUCAAAGCUCAAACAAAUAAAAAUUUAUUAUACCAAUAAAUAAUCUCACUUCCCCAUAAAUACUAGGCCAUUCCAUGCACCCAUGGAAGAAAUUAUGCUAAAAUGAGUAACAAGAAGAACCCAACCUUCUCCAAGCAUAAGUGUAAAUCAGAUCGGAUUGACCACUGAUAAUUAACGAACCCAAACAAAGAGGGCAUUAUGAACAACAUAAUAAUCAAGAAAACCCCAUUACCAAAAAUCGUUACCCCCACACUGGAAUGCACCAAAGGAAAGACUAAAAGAGAAAGGAAGGAACUCGGCAAACACAAGCCUCGCCUGUUUACCAAAAACAUCGCCUCCUGCAACAUCCCAGUAUAGGAGGUCCAACCUGCCCAGUGACUACAAGUUCAACGGCCGCGGUAUUUUAACCGUGCAAAGGUAGCGCAAUCACUAGUCCUUUAAAUGGGGACCUGUAUGAAUGGUUAAACGAGGGCUUAACUGUCUCCCUUCUCCAGUCAGUGAAAUUGAUCUACCCGUGCAGAAGCGGGUAUAAUAAUACAAGACGAGAAGACCCUUUGGAGCUUAAGGUACAAGACUCACCCAUGUUAAACAAACUCCAAAAAGUUUUAAAACCCGAUGAAAAAUGAAACUCUACCUUCGGUUGGGGCGACCACGGAGAAAAAAAUAGCCUCCGAGUGGAUUGAAUAAUAUUCAAAACCAAGAUAAACACCUCUAAGUGACAGAACAUCUGACCAAAAAUGACCCGGCAGCAAGACCGAUCAACGAACCAAGUUACCCAAGGGAUAACAGCGCAAUCCUCUCCCAGAGCUCAUAUCGACGAGAGGGUUUACGACCUCGAUGUUGGAUCAGGACAUCCUAAUGGUGCAGCCGCUAUUAAGGGUUCGUUUGUUCAACGAUUAAAGUCCUACGUGAUCUGAGUUCAGACCGGAGCAAUCCAGGUCAGUUUCUAUCUGUAAUGCUACUUUUCCUAGUACGAAAGGAUCGGAAAAGAGGGGCCCACUCUACAAGCACGCCCCACCCCAAAUUGAUGAAUCCAAAUAAAUCAAACAAUGGGAAAGCAUAAACCAACCCCAAACAAGGAGUU
This 1673-nucleotide ribosomal RNA is filed under the name Rasbora cephalotaenia. RNAcentral describes it as "16S rRNA". It matches the Rfam family "Bacterial large subunit ribosomal RNA". Lineage: Eukaryota; Metazoa; Chordata; Actinopteri; Cypriniformes; Danionidae. The record is from RNAcentral.